Molecule: ribosomal RNA, 1038 nt
Filed under: uncultured bacterium
Lineage: Bacteria
Description: bacterial SSU rRNA
Rfam family: Bacterial small subunit ribosomal RNA
Source: RNAcentral
CAGGUUGUAAACUGCUUUUAUACGGGAAGAAACCCUGAACGUGUUCGGGGCUGACGGUACUGUAUGAAUAAGCAUCGGCUAACUCCGUGCCAGCAGCCGCGGUAAUACGGAGGAUGCAAGCGUUAUCCGGAUUUAUUAGGUUUAAAGGGUGCGUAGGCGGAAUAAUAAGUCAGUGGUGAAAUCUGCAGCUUAACUGUAGAACUGCCAUUGAAACUGCUAUUCUUGAAUCUAGUUGAGGUGGGCGGAAUGUGUCAUGUAGCGGUGAAAUGCAUAGAUAUGACACAGAACACCGAUUGCGUAGGCAGCUCACUAAACUACAAUUGACGCUGAGGCACGAAAGCGUGGGGAUCAAACAGGAUUAGAUACCCUGGUAGUCCACGCCGUAAACGAUGAUUACUCGAUGUGUGCGAUAUACCGUAUGCGUCUGAGCGAAAGCAUUAAGUAAUCCACCUGGGGAGUACGAUCGCAAGAUUGAAACUCAAAGGAAUUGACGGGGGCCCGCACAAGCGGAGGAACAUGUGGUUUAAUUCGAUGAUACGCGAGGAACCUUACCUGGGCUUAAAUGCAGAAUGACUUUUCUGGAAACAGAUUUUCUCUUCGGGGCAGACUGCAAGGUGCUGCAUGGUUGUCGUCAGCUCGUGCCGUGAGGUGUCGGGUUAAGUCCCAUAACGAGCGCAACCCCUAUUAUUAGUUGCCAGCGGGUAAUGCCGGGGACUCUAAUAAGACUGCCAGUGUAAACUGUGAGGAAGGUGGGGAUGACGUCAAAUCAGCACGGCCCUUACGUCCAGGGCUACACACGUGUUACAAUGGCCGGUACAAAGAGCAGCUACUUAGCGAUAAGAUGCUAAUCUCAAAAACCGGUCUCAGUUCGGAUCGAAGUCUGCAAUUCGACUUCGUGAAGCUGGAUUCGCUAGUAAUCGUAGAUCAGCAAUGCUACGGUGAAUACGUUCCCGGGCCUUGUACACACCGCCCGUCAAGCCAUGGAAGCUGGGGGUACCUAAAGUUCGUAACCGCAAGGAGCGACCUAGGGUAAAACUA